Molecule: RNA transcript, 16513 nt
Organism: Varanus komodoensis (Komodo dragon)
Lineage: Eukaryota; Metazoa; Chordata; Lepidosauria; Squamata; Varanidae
Gene: VEGFA
Gene name: vascular endothelial growth factor A
Exons: 11
Source: RefSeq, a predicted model, not a curated record
CUUAGAGAACAAGCGAGCCAGUGGGAGCUUCGGACGGUGUUGCCGCUGCCUCUGCCUCUGCCUGACGCUCAGCCGAGACAGAGCGCAAGCCAGCCAGCCAGCCAGCCAGCCAGCCAGCCAGCCAGCCAGCCGCGCACCCAGAGACAGACGGUAAAAGUGCAGGCUGGAACGAGAGACAGAGAACUGAGACAGGAGAUCGGCACAGGGCGAAGGAGGCUUCUUUCCCGCUCUCCUGCUAACCUACGCGUUAGGAUCUGCUACCCAUUCUUCUGUUCGCCCAGUAAUUUUAUUUAUCCGCUACCGCUCAUCAGCUGAGUGGUUUCCUGGCAAAGCCGUUUGGAUUUUUAUUUUAUUUUAAAGAAGCAAAGCACCCCGUUUUUCCCUCUCUUCUUCACGCUCGAAUCCAACCGGGCUGUGUGAUUCAGGGCUCCGAAGAGGGGAAAAAAUGUUAAUCUCCUGACGGUUAAAAAAACCCCCACCAAAAAAAAAAAAAAAAAAAAACCAAUCCUCCAACUUCAGCUUGAAAGGAGCAACUUCCCGCAGCCUCAGGAGCCAGACCUUGGGGUGAGAGAGAAUGCACUGAAACUUUUGGCAAACUUUUUCGCUUUUUUCCUCCCCUCCAGUGUUCCUUCCCCCCUUUUUUCUUUUGGUGGUGUCCUUGCGGUGCGCGCGCUCGCGUGUGGUGCCUUGCCACCGAAGGGGGGAAAAGAGAGAUCUGUUACAGUUCGGAACCGCCUGGGACGUUGCUGGGAUUGCCCCGGAGGGGCGUCCGAUCGGAGCCGAAGACGCCCGCUGCUCUACAAGUAGAGGAAAGAAGUGUAGAGGGGGAAUCCGCGUCUUUGGCGCCUAGGGAAGCCGGGCUUAUGGACGGGUGAAACCAGAGUCUAAAAUCUCCCCCCUCUCUCCUUCACCAACCCCAGAGCUUUCCUUGAUCGGAAGAAGAGCAGAGGGACCGAGCGAAUCUUAACGCGCUAACUCCGGCUUCGCUCCAGGAAUCAUGAACUUUCUACUCACUUGGAUCCACUGGGGGUUGGCGGCGCUGCUCUAUCUCCACCACGCCAAGUUAUCACAGGCUGCUCCUUCCCCAGGCGAUGUGGAGAAGCGACAGAGUGACGUGAUGUCAUUUAUGGAAGUUUUCGCUCGCAGUACCUGCAAGCCAAUUGAGACCAUGGUGGAUAUUUACCAGGAGUACCCUGAGGAUGUGGAACAUAUCUUCAAGCCAUCCUGCGUUCUUCUGAUGAGAUGUGCAGGGUGCUGCAAUGAUGAGUCACUGGAGUGCACACCUACGGAGGUGGAGAGCGUCUCCAUGGAGAUCAUGAAAAUUAGACAACUUCAGAGUCAAGGUGUAACUCAGAUGACCUUCCAACAGCACACGCGUUGUGAAUGCAGACCAAAGAAAGACAUCAGAACUACACAAGAAAAAAAAUCAAAGCGAGGAAAGGGGAAGGGUCAAAAGAGAAAGCGCAAGAGAGGCCGGUAUAAACCACAAAACUUUCACUGUGAACCUUGCUCAGAAAGGAGAAAGCACUUGUACAAACAAGAUCCCCAGACCUGUAAAUGUUCCUGCAAAUUCACAGACUCACGUUGCAAGUCGAGGCAGCUUGAGUUAAACGAGCGCACUUGCAGAUGCGACAGACCGAGACGGUGAGCAGCAGAGAAGAAAGGGGGUGGGGGAACAGCCUUGGUUCUGGAGCUUGAUAUCUCGCCUGGUCAAAAUAAAAACACUAAUCCAAAUGAACACUAAAAUGAAGGAUCAGUAGAGCACAGCACUUUUUGAGUACGGACGAUGGACUCCGGAAGGAACAUUCCCCGAGAACCCGCACAGGAUUCGCCUUUCUUGGAUUUGAACUGCUUUUAUGGAGAGACUUUCCUUCUCAUGCUGCUAAAUAAUAAGAGCCAGGGAGACUGGAGUGGUCUGUGUUUUGGGACUCCCAUUUCACAUGAAUAAUAUAUAUAUAUAAUAUAUAUGUAUGUAUGUAUAUAUAGAUAUACAUAUAUAUAUUCUGAGUUUUAAAAACAUUGCUAACAUUAUUGGUGUCUUCACUGGAUAUACUCAACUGCUGUGGACACAAGUAGGCUACUUGAGGCAGAAAUAAUAAACUGUGGCUGGACUUCCUCUUCUCGUUGACCCUCUCAAGCAAGCUGGCCCACCAACGUGAUGCCUCCCCUGCAGUCUUGCACGGAAAGAUGCUUGUAGCGGAGGAGCAGUGGUGGCAGGGGAUUCCAGAAACAGCACCUGGGAAUACCAUGGGUCACUCAAGCAAGGAAAUUACUCUAGAAGCUGGGACUGAAGAUUCUGUCAACUUCUUUCCUCCCCUCAACUUUUGGCUGCAACCUGGUUCAUGGUCUGCUUCUUUGCUGGGCUGUCGGCAUGUGCUUUUGUACUGACUUGCUGCAGGAACGUUGUCAUGGAUCUACAUUCUGGCUCCAGCUGUGGGAAGUGGCUGACGCGAGGACUGGUCACCUUGAGGCAGCAUCAUUGGGAUGCUCUGCAGGCUUCCACCCCGGUUGGCUGCUGAAAUAAAGGAUAUCUGGCCAGUGGUGCACAGAAGCAAGAAUGGGGACUGGUGUCUAUCCAGGCAGUUGAACAGCACUGUCUGCCAUUGUAAUGCACAGAGCUGCCACUGAAGAUACUUAACGGAACAUCUCCGGAAAGGGAUAUUAAUCUAAAGUAUAUAUGUACAAUAGUUUGGUGUUUUGGCUCUGAGGAAACAAAAAAGCAUCUACAUGCAACUUGUCAAAAUUUACUGGGAAAAAGAGCAACACUUUGGAUGUACCACCACAAUCCAUACACUGUCAAACAAGCACAUAGGUUGCAAUUCUAUAGGGUACAAUCAUUUACUUGCUUAGACAGAAGUUUUAAAAGUGCCAGAUGCAGGAUUCCACUUAUACACACUUAGCUGGGAGUAACAUUCAAGAACUCAAUGGAACUUCCUUCUCAGUAGGAACAGAGAAAUCUCUUCACAUUUCAAAUUUUUGUCCAUCUAUAUACAACACUGUUGAUUUGCAGGGACAUCAGCAUAUCUACCAUAAAAUAUGUCAAUGGUGUCAUUGGGAAACACAAUUUAAUAUGCAAUUGUAUAUAUGUCUACUCAGCGGCACACCCCAUUGAGUUCAACAGGAUCCACUCUGAGGUAAAUAGUUACUGGAUUGCAGAUUUAAUUUGUAAAGGAGAGAAGGUAGGUUCAACAACAGUAAUUGUUCUCAGGUUCUUCUUACCCAGGGGAGGCCGGACUUGCUGAAUGAAAGAGCCACAUAUGGUAAAUGUCAGAUGUUUGAUAGCUGCAAGUGGGCGCCCGCCCAUGGGUGGUGGAGGGAGGCAGCAAGGAACAAGUGGGCACCCAUGAGCACUGCUGGUGGGGAGUGGCGAGCUGCAAAAUAAACCCAAAGAGCCGCAUGCAGUUCCCUUGCCCUGGUUUGGCCACCCAUGCUUUAACAGAUUCUUUUUUUUCUUUUCUUUUUGCAGUUUUGGAGUAUAAUACAGUAAGUAACUGUGGCUUUAUGAAUCCUAGCAAUGAUGGAGGGAAGCUCCAUUUCAGCCCAUAACACUGAUGAUGUGCCAGUGGGUCAUCCUAUGUGAUUUAAGAAACAAUUUCUGCAUUGCUUCUAAGACAUAUGCAGUACAAUUCUAUGCCUCUUCUCUGAAUUUAAUGGUAUGUACUCUCAGGCUUCAUGUUAGAUCUUCUUGUGUCUUUUGCUACAUGCAAGCUUUGAAUAUUCUGUCAGCAAUGAAGAAUACCUGAAGGGUCAAGAAGAAACAUGUAGCUUGACUGUAAGGGAAAUAAAGACUCAACAUUUCCAAGUACUGCUACUCCAAGGGUGCAAUCCUAUACAUGCUUACUUCAGAGUGUGUAUGAUUGCUUCCCUGAAAUGAAAGCUGAAUCACAUAUGGUAUAAAUACAAUUAUUCUUUGGUAGUUUUCAAAACGUUACCCAGAAAGGAAAUGUCUUUCUUGAGUAAAAUAGACACUUGGCAGUUACUUGAUUGCAUAGUAAAGGGCCACAGCAGGCUCUGCGGUGUGAGAUGAAGCCCAUUAGUCUUGUUGCCGCUUCCUCUGAAGCAAGGGAGGAAACUUUCUGUGUUGAAAGUUUAAGUCCAAGGAUGGAGGGAGCCUCUCACUUCCAGAAAAUGAGGUUUACAUGGCUGGUUCUGGUGUUACUAAAACAGAGUGUACUAUAGACCCAAGAAUUCUGUCCCACCCCCAUCCUCAUUCAUUGCUUCCAGAAAUGAUGACUAAGAGAUGCUCUCACAAUCCCACCCAACUCUGACCACAGUGAAAACCCCAAAGGAAAUACUAUUGGGUGCCUGAAGCUGUACCUCCCUCUUACCAUAAAUGCUUCCCCCAUAGAUGAGGUAUAUUUUUGAAUGCCGGGAGAGGGGGAGGACAAUUUGGAUUAAUAUAAAGUCCAUGUGGAUACAAAGCUAUAAGUAUAGGGUGGGGACUGACCUCAGGCUUCUUCCUGUCAUUCUCAGCUUUUAUCUUUAAAAAUGAAAAUACAAAUUUCUUACUCCUUAUGAGUUCCUCAGAAAGAAGUAAUUCUGCCUUGCGCUUACAGGAUUCUUAGUGAGUACAGGGGUACUUCAAUGAUUGACAAGCAUUUGGCACUUAAAUUUUAAUAAAAUGUAAUUUAAUGCCCACCCCCCAAUCAUUUAAUAACUAUGCAUAUAUGUUUUUUUUAAUGACUACUGGUAUCCCUGCUUUGUUUCCCUCAGCGACAUUAAAGGCAAAUUUCUGACUACAGAACUGAGUGAAAAUAAAUUCUGUGUGAACCUCUACAUUACAGAACAAUCCUAACCCCCAAGUUUGCUGAGUGGAGGAAAUCAGGAAUGAAUGGGGGUGACCCUCUGCUGGCAAAUGUAGCAUGGGUGUGGGGUGGGGGACUGAAAGAACCUCAUGGAACGGAGAAAAAUAUUCAACCCCUUCUCAUCUGAGCAACAUGAGCUGGCACGGCAGAUCGCAUGGCAGCAUCGUAAGUGGCAGAUGAUUGGCCAUUUCACUGCAGUCCUAUUUGGACUUGCACUAUUGGCAGGCGACACUGUCGAAUUCCAUGUGUGGGUGGACACGGGCUGUUCACUGAAAGUUAGCAUGCUUGCUAAAGGAGCCAUAACUGCAGGGCUCCAGGCCACAACUGUGCUUCUUGGAGAACCCUUGGAGAAUGAAGCUGUGGUGGGGUCCCUCCAGUUACAAUCCACCAACAAAGGGUUUUGUAUUUUUGGUGUUUUGUUUUUAAAAACCUACUCGCUGCAUGGAAAGAUGGCUGAGAGGGAAGAGGAAACAAGAUCACCUGUCUGCCUGGACCUCUUUCUUGUACAUGGAGUAAAGAUAACGACAGACACUGGCUUCAAACUUUGCUCCAAAAAGCCCAGGCAUUGCUCCUCCUGAGAGCUGAACAAAGUAUUAAAAUGAAAGCGCUGACUCCAUAACAACAAAGAUCUCAGACCUUGGCAUGUAAUAUCCAUUACAUCCGAGUUAGUGACUGUUGCUGAGCAAUAAACACCUCUCACACUAUUAAUAAAACCCUAUUUGGCAGCCCUGGUAUUCAUAAUAUUAGGCCACAGUGCCCUAGUGCGCACAGCGAAGGCUAAAUUCAGAUGCAGCUUUGGAAGCUGGUGCAACAUACAACUUGCUUCAGUGCUCCCUCUGUGCACAGGUAAUCAUGUGAUUGCAUAUGCUAUAAAUAUAAUGCAUUAGACCAGCAUUCCCCAACCUGGUGCCCUCCAGGUGUACUAGGCUACAACUCCCUUUGCUAUGCUUACAUAUUACCUUGAAGAAGCACAGACAUGUACUUUUUCCUAACCUACCACAGAGAUGCUAUUAAAUGUGCUGACUAGGAUGAGUCAGCAGUAACAUCUGAGCAUCUCUGAAGCACUUUCCCUCUUCUGCAAUUCUUCCCCAUCCUUCAUUCAAGGAUGAGUUUACUGAACAUCUUAAGUUGUGGCAUCCCACAUGUGCUCAUUUUCUGAAAGAUGAUAUAAUACCAUCCUUGAAUACUUACAUCAAGAAAUGUCUCCACAGUUAGUACCAUUGCUAACAGAUGUUAAGGAUAUUUGGGGUUAGAAUCCAAGACUUGGAAGUCUUGCCUUGGUUUUAAGUUUAGUUUGAUUCUUUGUACUAAAAAUCAGACUAAAGCUGCAAUCCUACAUAGUGUGAAUGCUGUACUUCAGGCCAGUAGACCACAUCUGUCCCACAUGUGGUCCCAGUUGCCCCUACUUAGGUGGCCAAGCACCCUUCCCAUGGCCACUUUCUCUUGGUAUCUCCCAGCCUUUUUCAGUCCUUUCCCCACACUCCUUCCUCCCAUGCUCUAAUGGUUGAAAAGUCUCUCUUAAUGUUUAGUAACUGACAAUAUAAGUUUUAAGCUUUAAAAAAUGCUUAUGUUGUUGGCAUUUUGGCCCUACUUCUUUUGUCUUCAGCUCUACCUCCCACCAUUCAUAAACAUACUCCCUCUGAGAGCUUCUCUAAACUUGAGCUUGACCCUUAGUCUUAAGAGGUUCAACAUCACUGCUAUACACACUUACAUUGGAGUAAGUCACAUGGAUUUGCAUAAACAACACACUACUGCAUAGCGACAGAUGUGGAUAGGAUUGCACUAUCCUGGCUGCAAGCACAGUUUUGCAUGUGAAGGAGAUGAGAGGUGACAGGAAGAACAAUUGCUUGUGGUUCUUAUUGCAGGUUCCCUCCCAUGUUUUGGAACACAUCUUUUCCAUCUAUCUUUGGUGAGAUCUGAGAUGAGCACCCUUCCAGAGUAUGGAGCUUUACAAAUUUUGAAAAGGUGGAGUAGAAUACAAAAGAAGAAAAUGUAUUCUGCUGCCAUGGAAACUUCUAUCCAACCACCCUUGCCCACAGUCAUGCUUUCAAGAACUAUCUGAGACUUCUCUUCUCAUUUGGUCAAUUUCUUAUUAAAGCAGCUAAGAAAGCAGUGGGUUUUGAAGAAGAAAGUUAAAGGGAGAGCAGGCAACAUUGAUUUUACCACUCAGCAUACUCAGGCAGCUUCUGAGGUUCAAAGCCACCUACUGGAACCCACCAAUGUUGGGGCCCUCAGCAACUGUGGUUUUUGUGGUCUCCAUUUUAGUUCCCCUGAAGUUCCAGCAUUCCAUGGCAUUGUAAGUUUAAAAAUUUACAAAUGAUGGCCACCACAAAAAAACUGGUAGCUGCCAUGUGCCAGAGAAUAACAGAAUUCCUGCAAUGCUGCAAACCAAGAUGGCAUCUACAACUGGGACCCCAUAUUUCCAGCAUUCACUGCAAAUAUAGUCAGAAAGACUGAACUUAGAGACAACAAACUGUGCUUUCCCUUUUGACUUCUUAUGCCCGCAAUGACAUCCUGCCUCUACUAUACCUCUGCCUUUAAGUAGAACUGAUACAAUUCCACUUCUGCAUCUUCUCUAUUACUACAGGGAAUCAGUGGGGCUCCAGGUGUGAAAUGCAUCCCUCCACAAAGGAUACUUUAUGCAUCAUCUCACUAUUGGCUUGGAUGCAAUGAAAGUGGGCUGUGCAUGUGGCAUUGACUGGGUCUUCUGCAAAAAAAAGAGACACGUCUCUUCCCUGCAGCCAGAAGGCUAAUGUAAGUUACAGCCACUUUAACGUUUUCUCUUCUAAAGCAAUAUUUUCUGACUAAAAUAACACUGUUAUUCUUCUGGAAAUCAGUUCUGGUCUUGCCCAAGACUUACAAGGCCUUCAUUUCUCAAUUUGAAAAGGUAUCCUGUAUCAUUUCUUAAAGGGAACAUUUCAUUAUUAUUUCCCGGCACUUGAUACAUAAGGGAAAUGCUGUUUGCAUAUAUCUAGGAGAGAUUUACUGGGCUAUCAAAUUAGACAGGCAGCAGCGAUGAAGGAACCCAUGUGGUGGGACAAGUUGAUUUAUCAUCCUGGUGCAAUUUGUGUUUGGCAGUCAUCACUCAUCACAGUGCAUUGGAAAAAAGGUGUGCUCCCUCAAAGGAAAGCCUCUGCCAUCAGUCAGAGGGCACAAAGUAGGAAGUGGUUUCCUUGCUAAGUGUAUGCCUAUACAAACAUUCUCUUCAGCCGAUAAAUCAGUUUUGUAGAUUGCGUUCAGCUAUCAAACAAAAGAAGCCCUGGGAGGAGUUUUAUUUUAUGCAAUUAUUAGUACAAUCAAAAUGUUAAAAACAACCACUAUUGUAUUUGCUGCUUUGUUCUUUCAAGUUCUCACUGUUUCAGAGAGUAGUCAUGCUGCAAAACCAUUUCACAGAGGAGUGGGAAUUUUUAAAAGAAUAUAUAUUCUAAUUUUUUAGUAGAAAGCUUUUUAUAUAGAGAACAUUUAGUAGAAUUUUAGUAGAAAGUAGUAACUUUUAGCAGAAAGUUGUGUGUGUGUGUGUAGAAGAAUAUGCUGUUAUUUUUCUCCAGAACAAAGUCUCAGAAUAAGGAUACAUUUAGGGCAAUACUGGGGCAGAAGGAAAGCUGUUAUUGGAGUCUGCUGUUUCUGCCAGCAACACCUCCUUCCCUCAACCUGAUUCUCACAGAAUCAUAGAAUCACAGAACAGUUGAGCUGGAAGGGGCCAGAGGGCUAUUGGGUCAGUGCCCUGCUCAGUGCAGUCCCAGUUAAACCAUCCCUCUCAGAAGGCUGCCCAGUUGCCUCUUGAGAGCCUCCAGCAAGGGGGAGCCCACAAUCUCCCUAAGUCAUUGGUUCAUUGUCAUACUGCUCUAACAGUCAGGAAGUUCUUCCUGAUGUUCAGCCAGAACCUGGCUUCCUGUAACCUGAGCCCAUUAUUCUGUGUCCUGCACUCUGAACUUUUUAACACAGGUUAAAAGGCAUGGAAAAUGAAGCCCCUGUCCCUAAAAAUAUGAGAAAAUUGUACAGCAUGUUUCUUUCAGGGCUGAGUCUCCAAAUAUGUGCAUAUUUGGUUGUAAUAAAGGUAUUGCCUGACUUUUUAUAUUUUUCAUUAGUUUGUAUCCCAUACAAAAUAAUAGAACACACCAGAACCACACUGUAUGGCAGGGGUCCAGAACCUUGGGCCAGGAAGCUGAAUGUGGUGGUUCCUCAGAUUUUGUACAAUCCCCAAUUCUAAAAGUUGAAAUGUCCCUCCCAAGGUUUACUUCUAGCAGUCAAAGCUGCCAAACUAAAAGAUGCUGGAAAUGUUUGCUAUUUUAGCUGUAAAAUGUUUGAUAUUUUGCUUGUGGCCCUCCCCACAACUAGCAGGAAGCCCUCAAGAGAUUCUUUGAAAUUGUGUUUGGUCUUCAGGCUGUAAGAGGUACAAUAUGCCUCCAGCAUGGGGCAUAUUGUAUAUAGAGAUGGAUGAUGCAGUGAGUAAGCACUGCAGGUCAGCCGUGAUGCAUGUUAGAACAGUGCUAAGAAUCCCAUACCUGUUUAGGAAGAGAGCACAUGUAGGGUGAGCCCUUACAAGAAACUAGGAACAAAUAAAUGAGUUGCGAUAGUGGAAAACAUUAUCUUCUUAUAUUAAAGUUUCUCAUGGCUGUGUUUUAACAUUUAAUGAACCCAAUGAUGGCCACAUAUUUUAUUUUUAAUGAAACAAUAAAACCUUGCUAAGCUAUUAAAGGUGCAAUCCUGUACACGUUUAGACAGAGAUAAGUCUUACAACUCCCUGCAUGGCUAGCUGGAGGAUGGUGGGGAGUGUCCAACUUAUUUCUGUCUGAACAUGCAUGAGAUUAUGCCAUUAAAUAUUAAAGCCACUAAAAGCAAUUUGGAAGGCAAGUCUUACAUUUUUUGAAAAGCCCAGAGAAUCUGGGGAUGAUCCUGGCAGUCUGUAACUGUAUUUCUCAACCCUGUGCCCUCCAGACUUCUAGUAUGCCUCAACCAGGCUGGGCAAUACUGGUUUAUUUGGGUGUGUUUGUCUCUGCAUGCACACCCCUAUUACAACUGCUUGCCAUAAAAAGAAUUGUGACUAGUAGCUGGCCUUUUAACGAAAUAAAGUUCCAUUAUUAUGGUGUAUCACAAAAGAGAACAAAGAUAUAUACUAUUUGACUUUGUACUGUAAUUUCUGUUUCUGCUAAACACAGGAGGAAUAAGCAGAGAUAAACUUCUUGCCUUUUAAGUGUUCUGCUGAGUCACACAAAGUGCUGUGUAAAACAUUCAUAAACAUUCAUAAAUACACAAAUGGCAGAAAAAUGGCAUACAGUCUCCUGUUUUGGUAGAGAGGUGGAGUAUAAAUCAAAACAAAUAAGGGUGCAAUCUUACGUACAUUAGACAGAAGAAGGUCCUGCACCUCUUUGGCUGGCUGGGGAAUGCAAAGAGUUGUUAAGACAGAAAAAGAUCAUAGUGUAUACAUAGAAUUGUGCCUUAAACCUAUUAUAGUCACUGGGGUCCCCACCCUCUCACUGAUCCAUCCUUAUGAAAAAGCAGAUGGAGGUAUGGACUAGGCCACAUCAAAUUCUUGAUUUUUAAAAUUGGUUUUUAAGCAAACCAAUCAAAAUUAAUGCUUCCUGGACUAAUAUGUGGAUUGGAGCACAGUUAUUCCUUGGAAUGUGCACUUCUGCACUCAGAAUUUACACACAAAAAUCCAUUAGGGAAAUUAUUUAAAAAGUGUGUGGCAUACAAAAGAGGUUAAUUCACAGCUAAAAGACACACACUUCCUGGUGGAUUUUCUAAACACCACCAUUUGGAAGGCUCUUCCACACAGUUCAUGCUUUCUGUCCACUCUGAGCCUUUUCCAAGUCUUAGAAUGGAGGAGAGGAUCAUGAAUUCUGAAAUCCUCACCCUAAGGUGGACCCUUUCCAGACGGCCUAACUGGGCUCAACUACCCAUGCUUCAAUGCAGAUUUUCAAACGGCCAUGUUCAGUGGGAUUUUUCUUGCCAGCUGUCUCUUUCUUUCUCCUCUAAAUACUUUGGAAGCCUCUAGACUUGAUGGGGUCUCCAGUUUUUCAAACCCUAACUCUGAUGUGUUUUAUAUUGUUUUAAUAAUUGAGGUUUUAUAUUGUGCUUUUAUAUUUUAUAUUGUAUUUUUAUAUUUUGUAAGCCAUCCUGAGUGUUUGGCAAUAAGACGGGAUAUAAAUGCCUGUAAUAAUGAAUGAAUGAAUGAAUGAAUGAAUGUGAAUAUUUGUUUAAAAUGUCAGACCAGGGCAGAAAUGGGACAGAACAAACUGAUAACUGAAUACAUGAACAACUGUGGACUAGGAAUGUACCAAUUUGUCCAUCUUCCCUGCUAUAGUGGAAUCAUAUUCCAAGCCCAGGUUUGGACUGCCCAACAACCUGCCAUAGUUGGUUAUCAUAGUUUGGUUGUUGUGUCAUACAAACACAGCCUGGGUCACUCGGGAUGGGUGUUUUCUUUCAGACAACCACUAUGAGAACCCAUGAGCUGUGCUACAGUUGUCACCCAGGACCCAACCAGCCAUGAAUCCAGAUAACACAAUGGAUGAGCCCCAACAUCCAGUGAGCCACUUGGUAAGAGUGGCAGAAGUCCCUUGCUACUCUUGACAAGUGCCUGCCAGAUAAGCCUCACUCACAGCAACCACCAUGUGGCACUUGAGAACUUCUGCCAGAAGCUUUCCUCUGCCCAGGGGGUAUGAACUGGCCAUCCCUGCUUGUGGAUGGAGAGCAGACCUCUCAAACAACUGGCAGGGAUGGUCAGAAUUUGCUCCCCUUUGCCAGUAGCUUAAGAGGUCUUCUCUGUAGCCUCUAGCAAGGAUGGCUUGAAUCCACUCCUCCUUGCUGAGAAGGCAUGUGUCCAUAGGCCAGAAAGGGCAGACCUACUUGCCUGUGGCUCAAGGGCAGACCUCUCCAGCUGCCAGCAGGGCCACUCCAUGGUCCUGCCGUGUGCUCCAGGCAGCAACCCAGAGUGGAUUGGGCAGAGCAGAGCAGACCUCUCAGGCAGGACUCAGCAGGCUGUUCAGUGGCACUGCCUUCUCCAGGUGGUGCUACCAAGCAGAUCAGUCACAGUCUCUUAUGUAGAGUGAACAGGAGGUGGGGGAACUGAAUUAGCUCCCCAGUCCUCCCUGUUGUCCUCCAGGGGAUGAGCUCUGUUUAUGUUAUGGGUCAAAGAAGAAGAAAGAAGAAGAGGAGUUUCUAUAGUCCAUAAAGAACUGGUGUCCUGAAGUGCAAUAGGGUCAACUUCCAGACUUUGCUGGGGCGAUAUGCAGGGACUGGAAGGUGAUCCCAUUCCCCUUCAGGGCACAAGACCUGUCUGCACAAUAGGGACUGCCUAACAACUCUAGCAAGCUGAAAUCAACUUGCGAUCAUGGCUGCAGAGAAGUGGUGCAUUUGUCCUUGUGGUGUCCUCUGAGAUACCACCUGAAAGAAUGAGAGGGAAAAAGGAACAAAGCAAUGAGCUUGAUCUUGUUGGUCUUAUCAAAGAACAGUCUGCCCACCUUGAUUUAUUGCUACGGUGGGUUGGUAUGCUGUGCAAACUCAAAGCAUUAGGAUAAAUUACAACACGAUCCAAAAGGCACAGCGAGAUAGGGAAAAGGUCAAGUAUAAAGGUCUCAAUCCAGAUGAAAUCAGGCUCAGGCAGGAGCAGUCAAGAUACAAUCAAGGGUCAAAACACAGUUUAGCAGUCAGGUACAAUACACAAUCCAGAAGCAAAGGCAAGCAGAAAUCUGAGGAUCAGUAGUAGCAGAAAGGCUGAGUCACAAGGCAAGGUCAGGAAACCAAGAUACAAAGCUCAGAGCUAGUAAAACUAUGUCAUUCCUCUACCAGCUAGGCUAGAACUGAAGCAUUCUAUAGCUAGAGCUUCCUGAGUGCCAUCCAGGGUUAGCUGCAGUGUAUUACAGGUUGUCUGGCAAAAGCCCUACUCAAGUGGAGGGCUUUCCUGUCAAGGGGUCCUCUCUUCUAGAUGAGCCUUCCUUUGUAAUCAAUCAUUUCUUCGCAGAGGAGCCCUGUUGGUCUGGCUCUUGAAGCAAUAACCUUUUGGGGUGCCAAGUGGUCACCCAACCUCUGUCUCAGAGGUGGAACUGCUUUCUUUCUCUGUGGACAGAUGGACAAGUGGUCAUCUCCCCUACAGGCCCAGGCUCCCCUGGAUCUCUUGACUUGGGAGGGGGCAGGAAUUGCUUGACAUUGGCUGUCUCUGGGACUUCUUUCUGUGCCUUAGAGAAGGAUUCCUCCAGUAGGGACAUGACAUCAACUUAACAUACAGAUGAGACCGACACCCCUGUAAGUGGGCCUGGCUGGGAAAACAGGUGUUUGAAGCAAAGGUAAUGGAGUGGAGUGAGGUAAAAAGGGAGACAUGGAAGAGAGUUUAAGUUCUCUAUCCAUAUGGAAAUACAACUCUUUCCCUGAUAUAUAUGAAACUGAGUCUAUUUGAUUGUGACCUGCUAAAUGAGGCAAGAGAUCGUUGGAUAAAACCUUACAUGCAGGACUCUAGAUGCAAUUGAAUAAAUUGAGGUUUCUUUUGGCAGGAGCGGAUUUUAAUAUUACACUGGCAGUUGCCAGGUUCUUUCCUCAGUCAAUUAAAAUUUAAAAUUUUUAUAUCAUAUAGAUGCACCUAUCAAUAAACUCUUUUAUCUUCAGUCUUAGCAUGACAUCGCUCAGAGCUGAAUUGGCUGUAUGAGCAGUAUCCUUAAAGUAAAGGUAUUAUAAACUAUUUAUGUGAUUGAACAGAUGUCAACGGAUGGGCUGUCCUCUCAUGUCUUGUUUGAUCUAAGCGAUCUGUUGUCAAAUAUCUUUUUCAUGCAAGCAGACCUGCUAUUUGAAAAACACAGAGCUCCCACCAUGUCACAGAUGAAAUCCUGGUGGACUUAUCACACCUCUUUUCUCAGCAAAGAGGAUCCUUGGUUGGGUGUCCUCUGUCCCUCAGCACAUAGGUACUCCCUUAAGCUAUUUUCUGGAUGCUCUUUGUUUGUGCGGCAAUCAAUUCAUAUGGCAUUUACUUACCCUGCAAUAUUUUUUUCUGCAGUAGUUUCUGAUUCUGACACAGGUGUGUGAGGGCUAAACAAAUGUGACAUUAAAUAACCCUUUGCUUUUAACUUGUGUAGUCUCAAUGCAACAUGCUGGUCACAAUCUUCAACUUCCCAAAUGGCUUGGGACUCAGCUAUGAACAACCACCUGCAUCUGUAUAAUCCUGCCCAGACACUAAAAACUACAUCAGGUGUCCUUCUCAAGUGAAAUCGCUUAAGUAUGUAUGCAUGCGAUAUAAGGCCUUCUCAGCACUGGCCCCUAUAUGGCCUUCCUAAUGAUGUAUGCCCAGACCCUUGAGCCUUUAAAUGAAUUCAUAAAUGGCAUCACAAAGUAUUCUCUGACCUACAGGAGCUGAUUUUAGUAUCGAAACGUGUUCCUGUGUAUACUGUUUGUGAGGUUAUGACCUCAAAAAGUGGCUAAUUUUAAAAAAAUAAACAAAGAAAUUAAUGCAUAAACAAAGAAGGGGGAAAUAUUUGAUUGGUACCAAGCUAUCAAAAGGACAUCAAGAUGUUCAUGGCCACUGCGUCAGAGAACAAUCCUAAUGCUAGAAGGAUAUGCAUUGUUCUUUUAGCUUCACUGCAGUCAGCAAUAAUUUUUUAUCUAAUGUAAUCUGCCUGCAUGCAUGGUGGUCAUGUGGAUCCAAAUUCCGUACUAUCUGUCCCUGCUCUCAGAAUAUGCCAGAGCUGUCAUUGCAUAGAACAGUCCUGUAUUUUAAUCUGAUUUCCUGUAAUCCCCCUGUGCCAAGGCUACCUCUGUCAGGAUGGUCUGUUUGUCAUGAGAAAAGGCUUCUCAAAUGGUUCAGGAAACUGGCAGAAAGGAAAAGGGAUGGAAUCUUUUUCCAGAGGCCCUUCUCUAGCUGGAGGAGGAAGGAAAAUUUUAGCAGUGGCACCUUAACUGUGGAAUAUUCUCCCCAGGUGGUCCAUCCCUGCAUAUAUUUUAUUGUCACUUCAUGGCCUAGUGCUGACCUUUUAUUUGGCCAGGCCUUUAGAUCUGUCUUAGCUUUAUGUUGUUUUUACUUUGCUCGUACUUUUUGGUUUUUAUAGUUACUGAAUUUUGUAUCGAUUUAUUUCUUGUGAGCUGUCCUGAGAGCUCUUUUGUAGAAUCAUCCAUGAUUACUGUUGAUUUUGUUGCUGUUACCAUGCACCAUAAAUUCAGCUCACAGUGAGGCAAACCUGAACAUCUUAGAUCAUGCCUUCUGAGUUACACAGAAGUGGAAAUAUUUUAAAACCCAAUCUCUCUCUCUCUCUCUUGGGCUCAUAAUUCACAUAUUUCUACAGGUACCAAAAAACCCAACCAAACACAGAUGACAGUAACAAAGAUUGAGCUUUUUCUAUCUUAAGGUUGGAGGAGUUGUGGGAUGAAUUCACCAAUUUGCUUGGGGGAAGCAUAUCCUGUGUUCAAUCAUUUUGCAUCCUACAACUUCCUAACUCCAAAAUUAGGUCCAAUUAUGUUUGCGCUGGAGUGCCUUCACAGUUAAGUGGUCUGAUGACGGUAAAGAACGUGUGGCUCGGAUGUAUUCUUACCAAUAAAUGUAUCUGUAAAACGAUUUGUAAGAGGCAGAUAAUUAAAGUUUGAAUCAUGUACCAUGUUGUAGGCAAUACUUACAAGAGAUUAUAUGUUUGGCAAGAGAUAAUGGCCAAACUUUGUGACUAAUACGGAAAGGGCUGUGUGUGUCCCAGUGUUUUUCUUUAGCUAUUUGAUAAUGUUGUCCUUUUAAGCAUGGAGAGAAAACAAGGCACUCUGUGAUUAACUCUGACCUCUGCCUGCUAUAAUGUUUGCAUCUGCAAAUUUCAAAAUCUAACAUUUUUCUUAUCAAUUCAUCCAUUACUGCACAUGACAACCAGGAUGCUCAAACUAUCAGGGUUACUGUGCCUUAACACAAACACAACACAGCCUGCAGUUUUCCUUGAGGUUGAUUAGUCAUUAUCAGGUGUUCAGACCAAAACAGGCAAGCAGAAAGUAGGCUGAGAGACUGGAUAUAGGUGGGCAGAUGAGUUGGUAGCCAGGAGGCUGUGGGAGUAGAUUUAACCCUAGAAUAUUCUGGUCUUUUUGGCCUUGUCCCUUCCACCUUCAGCUCUGCCCACCACUGAAUUUCCAGAGAGCUUUCCUGCCAUGGAAUUCAGCCCCUGUGCUGAAAAAGGUCCAGUGGUCUAGGUAUGAAGUGAAGGCAUUGCUCCCUCAUAUCAAUGAGCGUCCCAAACAAAGAAAAACAGGCCUCUGCAUCCCUCAGGAGCCCCAGAUUAGACAUCACGUGACUUCCCAGGCCGGGAGGACCAUGGAGUGCUGUGGCAAGCUCCCAGCAGGAAUAGCCCGUAGCUGUCUUUACAUAGAGCUGAAAGCCAGUGCCUGAUCAACAGGGCUCAAUAACAUUUACUCCUACCUUUGCAUGUACUGCUGGUAGCUGCCGACACAUCUUGCAGCAAAUGCUGUGUGUGUUAAAAUAACACUCGUAUCACCUUGCUAUUUCUUCUCUGCUGCUUUCUUCUAUCACUAGACAAAGUUUAAAGGGAACAAGCUCCAGCUAUUAAAAUAGCUCCUACCAGCCUCAUUUGGUCUAUUUCAGGGCCUGGUUUGACAUAUAUAGGAUAGAGUGUUCUUGUGGGAACUGAAGCCACAAGAAAUCAUCAUUCAAAGGAAAACCAGCUCCUGUUGAACCUGGAGUGAUUCCUUUUCAGCACGUCGCCACACUUUCCUUAAAAUAAAUUGUGACUAUUAUUGUU